AUCAGAUAUAUACAUAUUUAGAUAUGUUUUUUCUCUUUAAUAUGCAUUUCUUAAAAGAAACUUUGAGAUCCCAUUGAAAAAAAACAAGGCUAGCCUUUUUCAGGGGUCUAUUUUUUUCUCCACUUGACUGUAUAUUUUUUUUUUAUAUCCGGUUAAUUCUCGUAGGAAUCAAUGAGAUCACAGGUUUCGAUAAGUUCAAAGAACGUUUCUAUUGCUCGCUGAUUACUUAUUUGUUGAUAGAUACAAGUAUCUCACGCUUGAUGCGGACUUACUUAAAAUCUUCGGUCAGAAUAACUUGUUGAUAGUUAACAUGUUGUCUAUUAUUUCAUCCACAUUAUUAUAAAAUGUUUUGGAACCUUUAUUUGGUCGAUAAUUAAUAUGUGUUAUUCUUUUACCUUCAAUCGCAAUGUUUGCACAUAGGAACAUUCUUAUUUUCAAAAUUAUUUAUUUUAUAUAUGAAAGAGAGAAAUUAAAGCAUUAACAAAAAAUACUGAAACUCAAGGUCGCAAAGGGAGAAGCAAAUAUGUUAUAUAUUUUGGAUUUGUGUAAAAAUCAGGGUGGAGCGAUAUUUUUUCCAGGUGUUUAUUAUAAGUUACAAGAAUUGGAGAUAAUAUAUCAACAAUCAUGAUUAUUUAAGCCUUUUAUUUAAUACAGGAUGUAAGUAUAAUUACUUUGUGUUCCUCCAUCAUGGUGCUAGGUUCAGCUUUUACAUCUUUAAAUUGUACAUUUUUUUAGUAAAACGUAUUGUAUGUUUUUUCAUUUUUUCUUGAAAGCAAAUUGACUUUCAAUUUUCAUGUGAUUAAAAUGUGCUGCGUUGUUCAGAGUAUGUUUUAUUAUAUUAUGUAUACAUUUUUAGUAUAAGUAUUUUUUGAAAUGGAAAAAUAUCUUAGUGUGAUUCGAAG
Molecule: long non-coding RNA, 902 nt
Filed under: Mytilus galloprovincialis (Mediterranean mussel)
Lineage: Eukaryota; Metazoa; Mollusca; Bivalvia; Mytilida; Mytilidae
Source: RNAcentral